Molecule: ribosomal RNA, 468 nt
Filed under: uncultured bacterium
Lineage: Bacteria
Description: partial 16S ribosomal RNA
Rfam family: Bacterial small subunit ribosomal RNA
Source: RNAcentral
GACGAACGCUGGCGGCGUGCUUAACACAUGCAAGUCGAACGGAAAGGCCCUGCUUUUGUGGGGUGCUCGAGUGGCGAACGGGUGAGUAACACGUGAGUAACCUGCCCUUGACUUUGGGAUAACUUCAGGAAGCUGGGGCUAAUACCGGAUAGGAGCUCCUGCUGCAUGGUGGGGGUUGGAAAGUUUCGGCGGUUGGGGAUGGACUCGCGGCUUAUCAGCUUGUUGGUGGGGUAGUGGCUUACCAAGGCUUUGACGGGUAGCCGGCCUGAGAGGGUGACCGGCCACAUUGGGACUGAGAUACGGCCCAGACUCCUACGGGAGGCAGCAGUGGGGAAUAUUGCACAAUGGGCGGAAGCCUGAUGCAGCAACGCCGCGUGCGGGAUGACGGCCUUCGGGUUGUAAACCGCUUUCGCCUGUGACGAAGCGUGAGUGACGGUAAUGGGUAAAGAAGCACCGGCUAACCACGUG